UUGGGUGAUAAUUAGGGAUUCUUAUUCUAAUCUAUCUUUGUCCUUUUCUAAUUGUAGAUGUCGAACGCAAACAACGCUGCUGCUAGUUCUUUCACGUUGAUGAGCCUUUGCCAAAAGGUCACCUUCGAUGGAACGAACUUUAGCGAAUGGAUAAGAUACAUUCGCACCAUUGCUCGCUAUGAGGAUAAGGAGUAUGUCCUCGAUGAGAAGCUCGAGAAAAUCAACCCCGAAAUUGCUACUCCCGCCGAAAUCACCGCCUUUGAAACUCAUGAGCGAGAUGCAACGAAGGUACAUUGCAUCAUGAUCGCCACCAUGAACUCCGAAUUCCAAAAGUCCUACGAGGACAUGUACCCGUACGAGAUGCAUCAAGACUUAUUGGAGAGGUACCACCAAAACGCGAGACAAGAGAGGUACGAGAUUUUCACUAACAUGAUUUCCGCGAAGAUGGGUCAUGGAGAAUCUCUUACCGUGCACUUGCAAAAGAUGCAAAGGUAUGUUGACCGCCUCCGCAAGUUAAAUGUUGACUUCGGUGAAGACUUGGCGAUCGACAUGGUGCUUCACUCUUUGCCUCCGAUGUACAACCAAUUUAGGAUGACCUACCACAUGAACAAAGAAGAGGUCACCCUAAGCAAGCUCCAAGGUCUCUUGAGGGUUGCUGAGAGCAACUUCAAAGACAAGUCUGUUGCACCUACUCCCAAUCCGCCCGCUGCUCCUGUCUUGGCUAUUGGACAAGGGAAGGGAAAGAAGAGGAAAGCUUCAUCGAAGAACUAUCGCAAGGUGAAAGCCCGAGAUGGUGCCUCUUCUAGUGGGACCAAAGUUGAUCCCGCCAAGCCCUGCUCUAACCCGAAGGAGGCAGAGUGCCACCACUGCCACAAGAUAGGACAUUGGAAGAGAAGCUGCCCGGAUUACCUGCAAGCAAUCAAAGAAGGAAAGAUCAAGCCAUCUUUCGCAGGUAUAUAUACAAUCAAAUCUAACGAUUCUAAUCAUGCUAUUUCUUGGGUUCUUGAUACCGGUUGUGGUUAUCACAUUUGUUCUAAUGUGCAGGGACUAAGAAGAAGUAGGGAUGUGGAGCAAGGAAGGAUCAAUCUAAUCAUGGGGAACAGAAGAUCGUCGCCUGUGACCAAGAUUGGAGUGUAUUCCUUAGUGCUUAGGAAUAGUUUAGUUUUAGAUUUGAACAAUUGUUGCUAUUCGCCAGAAAUGGCAAGAAACAUCAUUUCAUUUCAUGGUUUAUAUAGACAAGGAUUUAGAUUUUCUUUUAAUAAUGAGAAUGGUUCUAUUUUGGCUUAUCUAAAUGGUGUCUUUUACUUUGAAGCUAUACCAUGUAAUGGAAUAUAUGAAACCGUUAUGAUUGUUGAUAACUUAGGAAAUGAUGUUUUGAAUAUUGAUUCUUCCACUAGUAUGGAUAAAGCAUCCUUGUGGCAUUGUCGUCUUGGACAUGUCAACAAGAAACGCAUAGCCCAACUCCAAAAGGAUGGAGUGUUGGAGUCAUUCGACCUUAGGGAAGAUGACACAUGCGAGUCUUGUUUGCUUGGAAAGAUGACUAAGUCACCCUUCACGAGUACAUGUGAAAGGGGCGAGGGUCUAUUGGACCUAAUACAUACCGAUGUAUGUGGACCGUUUAGAUCAACCACGAAGGAUGGGAACCGCUUCUAUGUGACUUUUACCGAUGACUAUAGUAGAUAUGGGUAUAUCUACUUAAUCAAGCAAAAGUCAGAAACCUUUGAAAAGUUCAAAGAGUUCAAGAAUGAAGUGGAGAAUCAAUUGGGCAGGAAAAUCAAGAUGCUUCGAUCCGAUCGAGGAGGAGAGUACCUAAGUCUUGAAUUCCACGAUUAUCUCAAGGAGUGUGGAAUAGUUUCGCAAUUGACGCCUCCUAGGACACCGCAGUUGAAUGGUGUGGCAGAAAGGCGUAAUCGAACCUUAUUGGAUAUGGUUCGCUCUAUGAUGAGUCGUGCUUCACUACCAAUCUCUUUUUGGGGGUAUGCCUUAGAGACUGCCGCCCAUAUCCUUAACCGAGUCCCUACUAAGAAGGUUGCCAAAACACCUCACGAGAUGUGGACAGGGAAAGCUCCCUCGUUGGCACAUAUCAAGGUUUGGGGUUGCGAGGCUUUCGUAAGACGAGAUACUCACGACAAGCUUGAACCUCGAAGUGAGCGAUGUAUUUUCAUCGGCUACCCGCAGACAUCCUUUGGAUAUCUCUUCUAUAGACCGAAGGACAAUGUUGUCUUCGUUGCGAGGAGAGGAGUUUUCCGAGAGCGAGAACUCAUAAGCCAAGGAGACAGUGGGAGGCAAAUCGAGCUUGAAGAGAUUCAAGAGUCGAUAGAUGAAGGAACCUCUACCGCUGGCACUCAACCCGAGGAGGAAACUCCGGUUGAACCGAUUGACGAAUCCUUACCUCUUAGACGUUCCGAUAGAGUUAGAGUUCAACCCCAGUUUUAUGGUUUUCAUAUUACUACCGAAGGGGACACGUAUAUUAGUGAUGGUACACUAAUAAAUCUUGAUGAACCUAAUAGCUAUAAGGAAGCCAUGGCAGGCCCGGAGUCUGCAAAAUGGAAAGAGGCAAUGGAUAGCGAGAUCCAAUCCAUGUAUGAUAACCAAGUUUGGAAUUUGGUUGAUUAUGUGCCCGGACGUAAGACCGUUGGGUGCAAAUGGAUCUUCAAGAAGAAGACCGACGUGGAUGGAAACGUACACACAUAUAAAGCGCGAUUGGUUGCGAAGGGCUUUACUCAAACUCCCGGAGUUGACUAUGAUGAGACCUUCUCACCAGUUGCGAAGAUUAAAUCUAUUAGAGUGAUGCUAGCAAUUGCCGCAUUUCAUGAUUAUGAGAUUUGGCAAAUGGAUGUCAAGACCGCUUUCCUUAACGGAAAGUUGGCUGAGGAUGUUUACAUGGCUCAGCCAGAGGGGUUUGUGGAUCCGAAGCAUCCGAAUAGAGUGUGUAAGCUUGAGAAGUCCAUUUAUGGACUUAAGCAAGCGUCUCGCAGAUGGAAUCUUUGCUUCGAUGAGAAAGUCAAAGAGUUUGGAUUUGUACGAAGCGAAGACGAAUCUUGUGUAUAUGUCAAAGCCAGUGGGAGUAUAGUAAGCUUCCUCGUUCUAUAUGUCGAUGACAUAUUACUCAUAGGAAACGACAUCCCGACUCUGCAGGAGGUUAAGUCCUGGCUCGGGAAGUGCUUCGCUAUGAAGGACCUCGGAGAGGCUUCCUAUAUUUUGGGAAUAAGGAUAGUAAGAGAGAGAAGUAAGAGACUAAUAGGACUUAGUCAGAACACUUACUUAGAGAAGGUACUAAAAUGUUUUAGUAUGGAAAACUCGAAGAAGGGAGAACUACCGAUACAAAGUAAUGCCAAGUUGAGUAAGACUCAAAGUCCGAGUACCGAAGCUGAAAUAGCAGAAAUGAGCCGAGUACCAUACGCUUCCGCAGUUGGCUCAAUCAUGUACGCUAUGACUUGUACUCGCCCUGAUGUAGCCUUCGCUUUGAGCAUGGUUAGCAGAUAUCAAGGGAAUCCUGGCAGAGCUCAUUGGAUUGCGGUGAAAAAUAUCCUUAAGUACCUUCGGAGGACGAAGGAAUGGUUCUUAGUCCUCUGAGGGAGUGAUGACUUGAAGGUGCGAGGGUAUAGUGAUGCCAGCUUUCAGACCGACAGGGACAACUAUCGUUCGCAGUCGGGCUGGGUCUUUACCCUGAAUGGAGAAGCAGUGUCUCGGAAAAGUUCCACGUAGGAAACCAUAGCUGAUUCAACGUGUGAAUCAGAGUACAUUGCAGCGAGCGAAGCGUCGAAGGAGGCAAUAUGGUUGAAGAACUUUAUCGGUGAUCUUGGAGUUGUACCUGCCAUAAAGGAGCCCAUGGAAAUUUUCUGUGAAAAUGAAGGAGCAGUUGCUUUGACCAAGGAACCAAGAGAUCAUGGUAGAUCACGACAUAUCGACAGAAAAUAUCACUUUAUUAGACAUCGUGUAGAAGAAGGACAACUCGUAGUGAAGAGGAUAUCAUCAGAAGAUAACCCAGCAGAUCCGCUUACGAAGGGACUGAGUAGGGUUAAGCACUUGCAGCAUGCUAGGAGUAUUGGGCUGAAGGAUGAUAUUAGCAUAGAUUAGAUAGUAUUAGAAACGUGUAAUAGAUAAAUGUAAUUAACAUUUGAUGAUUAAAUAAAGGAGUUUUAUUUAUGAGUAAUGUUACUGUCUUAUGUUAAUUGUUUAACUAUUGUUUCACUUUGCAUGUUUUGACUUCCAGAAUAAUUGAGUUUAUUAGGAAUAAUCGAAUUGUUCAAAUUGUCCACAAUCGUUCAUAUGUUGGAAGUAGAUAUGAAUGAAGAUUGUCAUGAAUUGGUGUGUAGAUUGUCUAAAUGGUGUUAGACAUAGCAAAGGGUUGCUGCAACGUUCAUGAGUGCUUAUGAACUGGUUUUGAGCAUUGGAACAAACCCGCGCUUGCUGGAAUCACCUUAUGGAAUAUGAUAUAAAAGGGUGAUCGCAAGACGAUAAUAUCAUAUAGUCUUAAAACCUAGAUAUAUGGUUUGUUAUUUGUUAAUUGGUUGUACAUUGAUAAUGCGAAAACGCAUCAGUAACUCGGUGUUAUAAAACGUAUUGUUGUGUAUAGUUGAUUAAUGAAUAAGUAAAUGCAUAUAAGUCGAAGUUUAUCUGUUACUUUUAUCCCAAGAGGGUAAAAGCGAUAUCUCUGCCGGUCGAUGAUUUGAUUUGACUUAUGUGUCUUGCCCGGUCAGAGCUGAAUUGAUGUGUUCGAUUAAGUUCUAUGUCAAAUGAAUCGGAGAUCGAGAAAUCAUAAUGCUAGACUAAUUAUUCCAUAGAAUUGUCAGCAUGAUAUCUAACAUAGGACUGUACGAUCCCUUAUCUAAAGGACAAGAUUGAUUAGAUCAGAGUUUGACAGCGUCUUUGAGAGCUACGAUUGCAAAUCGAAUUGUACUUGUGCAUAUAGUUACUAGACUUAUCCAAGUGGGAGACUGUUGGAAUAGUGUCUAAGGCUGCAACUAUAUUAGGCAAGUAUUUGACCCGAUUGUGCAUGGUCCUUUUGGGUUGCCUUCACCAUAGCAACUUGAUAGGAUGAUUUAUUAUGAGAGAAUAAAUAUUAUUAAUAUAUUAUGAGAAUAAUAUAAGGAAUAAUAAUAUUUUUACUUGAUUAAUAUAAGUCAUGAAUUAAUUAGAAUUAAUUUUGUGACUUAAAGAGAUUAAUUAAAUAAGAGGGUAUAAACUGUCAAUUGUUUGAUAGUUACACUUUGGGCUGUAAAUCCUUAUUGGAUAGGGUUGGACGAUUUCUAGGGCUUAGGAUAAGCCACAAAUCGUCCAACGGCUUAUCAUGGAAAGUAUUUGGAUUGCUUUGAGUAAAGAUUAUCCAACUAGGGUUUAAGGGUGAAACCCUAGGAGCCUUACAAGUAUAAAUAGACCCCUAGGGCAAGGGAAAUCGGCACCUCUGCUAAAGCAAAGAAACCCUGGCCGAUUUCUAAUCCCUCUCCUCUUUCUCAUAUCAUCCUCUUGCUAGUUGGUGUUUGUAAGCCAUUAGAGGAGUGACAUUUGUGACUCUAAAGCUCUAAGAACAAGAAGAUCAAACAAGUGUUUCAAGGUAAGCUUCUAACUCUGAUUUUGUAUUGUUCUUAUACUCUAUUAGCCAUUAGAUGUCUUGGAUUCAAUUCAUGUUUAAUUAGAGAAACCUAGAUCCAAGCAUUAGGGUUUGCAUGUGCACAUAGGAAUGUUCAUAUGGCCAAAACCCAUCACUUACUUCAUGAAUAAUUACUAAAAAACUAAGAUAUAUAUAGUAAUAAUCAUAUGUGUGUAUGUUAGAUAAUAAAUCAUUAAGUUUAUUAUAAAUAUUAAUAACCAAGCUGACCGAGUUUUACAACAUUGUUCGCUUCAGUAAGGGGACGAUCGGGAAGUACUCAGAUUUUGUAACUCGCAUCGGUAAGGGCCGAGUAAGGAGUAGUCGACCGAGUAAUUGGUCAACUCAACGAGUUUUACAACACUAAUUUUAUAGAUGAAAAUAGUUUUUACAUGUCAACUAACAUUCACACAUAAUAUAUAUCACUUGGAGUUUGAGUAAAAAAUAUUUAAAAGGUAGCAUAAGAUGUUUAUAAAUGACUAUUUAUAAAAACGCUUUAUUAGGUACCUGUUAAAAAUCGGAUUUUUGUUAAAAGAAGUUUCAUUGUAAAACUUAUAAACAGUCAACCUUAAAAUGUUUGAAAUGCUUUGAAAUUUGUUUGAACAUUAUACAAACUCCAUUUCCUUUAAAUAAAUAAUGAUUUUUUUAUUAAAAAGACUAAAAUCGGGUUAUAGCGUUAUAACGUUAAAUAUUAAUAAUAGUGAUUAUUCUUUACGUUGAAACUUAAUAUAUGAUAUUAGUUUUUUAAUACUUAAUGCAACUUGUUGAUAGUAUGUUUUAUGCAUGUCAAAUGAGAUUUAAAACAUAAUUAUCGUCACCCAAAUUUUGGUUUAUUAAUAUAUGGUUUUUGUUAUAAGAUGCAUAGAAUUGAGUUUGAAAAAUAAAAUGAGUUUUAAUAUACAAAUUCAUAAAGUCAUAAGAUUUUGAUUGUUAAAAGGAGAUUUAAAUUUUUGAUUUUAAAACUCAUUCAAAAUUCCAAGUCUUACAUACAAAAUAAAAUUUUAUUGAGACUGUUUCCUGUCCUUAAGCGUUCUACAACUAAACCUUAAAAUAUCAUAUUUUAGUUUAUAAUUGAUCACGGUUAAUGGUAAUUGAAAUGAAGGUUUAUUUGGAACCUAAGGAACCUUAUAAUAAGUGAUAUGAUUUUUACAAAAGGUUACAUAAAUUGUUGGAUGCAUGGAAUAUUCAUGAGUACAUGUUUUUAUAACUAUAUUUUUAAGUCAUAUGUAAAAUCUGCAGGUCAUUGUCAUCCUAUUGAAUAACACUUAGGCAUGAUUUGCAUAGUUUUAGUAGGCGAUGAGUCACCUAACCGCUAGGAUUGUCUUCGUAUAUUCGGGGUAGUUUUGUAUUUUCUUUUAACAUAAGGGUUACAUAGUCUUUAGUUAGUUGCAAUGCUUCAAGUUGUUUCAAGUAGGACUAUUUUAUCGGAAUCUUGUGUGAUAAAGGUCACCUAAGCAUGAGAGAUCUAGGGCAUAGAUGGGAUUAAACAUUCAAAGAUAAGUAAUAGUCGUUUGGGAUCCCAUUAUCCAGGAAUUACGUAUGUUAUGUAAUUGGUAAUCGCUACCUCUCAAGUUUGAUAAAGUGGAUGGGAUAAAAGACACCUAACUGUUUACUUGUUUCGUUACUUGGAUCCUAGACGUUAAUAAAUUAAUGUUCUAGAAACAAUAAAAUAUAUUAAUAUUUAUAGACUUAAUAUUAAGAAUACUAAAUGAAAUUUUGUUAAAUUUUAUAUAUAACUUAAAAUAUUCUUACGCCAUCUAUAAAAGCUCUCUCUUGUUGAGUUUCAGCAGAUAGUGACAUUUGAUGGUUUUAAUUUCUAUAAUGGGUAUAAUAUCUUGAGCUUAUUCCAUAGGGAUAAAUAGAAAUUAUAUAUACUGAGAGAUCACAUAUCUGAAGAACCUGUACGAACUAGUCAGUCUGUUCAUGAUGCUUUGAUGGAAGUCUUAUUAUCAUAAUGUUGUUGUGUAUAAUUGUAACAUCCCGAAAAUACGGUCCAAUUUUUUUUUUAAUUUAAUAAUAAAACCAUAAGUGUCAACCAUUCAUUCAAAACAUAUUAUAUCAGAGUGUUAUGUCUAAAACAUUAUUCUAUUUUAUCAGAGCAAACAUCCCAAGUUAAAACUUCUUGGUUUGUGCCAUGCGAUCAUCCUGAGCUCCUCCCUACGAUACCGGAAGUACCUGCAACCAAAAUUGAAAACCAUAAUCACGAAACUUAGUGAGUUCCCCAACCUACCACAUACCGAAUAUGCAUAACCACCUACACAUAACCACAUACUAGACCCUCUCCCAUUGCAUCGGGUCGUGCCCAGCAUCGGGCCCCACCUGGCAUCGAGCCUCGCUCAGUAUACAUAUAUGUCUCUCUUAGGCCCCGCCUGCUAAACACAUACAAUCAUAUAACAUAACACAAAACACAUAAACUAAACAUACUCUACUGAAUACACGUUAUAAGGCCUCGCCUAUCUUAGUCCUCCCCCUAUCCUACUACUGAUAAGUCAUGAAACCCCAUCCACGCCCCUGCUGAUAGUGAGAUACGGGUCCCCGAUCACACUCAUCACUCUCGUAACUCGGGCCUUGCCCCUGCUAUGCUACUAAUGAGAUACGAAACCCCAUCCAUACUCUGCUAGUGGUGAGAUACGGGACCCCGCCCAUACUCACCUACCUACUAGUCACAUACAAGUAUCACACAGACAACAAGUAUAAACUAACAUACAAACAUUUUCUGGGCACCUACCCAGCGUCGGACCUUGGUCCAGAAUCACAUACAUAUAACACUUCCUCGGGUACCCACCCAGCAUCGGACCUUGGUCCGGAAUAACAUACUAGCAUAUAGUGCCUAGGGCUAACCCCCGGGUCUCUCUACUCAUAAACUACAUGGGCCGGAUUUGUAGCCUUAGACCCAUUCACACAGUGAGGAGACUCACUUUGCACUACUGAAGUUCUGCUGAUGCCCCUCUGGCUGCUAUCUGACAAAUCCUCGAACUGCACGUCCUGCAGCUCCCCGAGCUACGAAUACCAAGACAACACUUAGUCCAAAACCAACAAUUUUCCUUAGGGUAAAAUGACCAUUUUACCCCCUAGUCCAUCCCGGUCAAUAUCUAAGCCUAAACAAUAAAAUAAAGACCCAACACUAAGUGGACCUCCUAAGCCCACUAGUGGCCUACUAAUGGCCCAAUUUGCUAUAAUAGGACCAAACCCUUUAAUGAGCCUUACCUUAAGAUCAAAACAUAUUAUUGGCCCAUAUUUACCGACUCCAAAUGGCCCAUCAAAUCCCAAAUACCCAAGCAUUCCCUUAAACAGUGGCCUGAUAACACAUAGCCCAUAAAGACUAAGUACGCGGGGCGUACAUCUAUAUACAAUAAGCGUACAGGCAAGAUGGUGCGUACGUUGGGCGUACCUGAACGUACGUUAAGCGUAACCCUCCUGCUAAAGCCCUCUAUCCAUUAAGUGCUUAAUAUUCAGAUCUAAAAGCUACCAUUAUAGAUCCUGGUCCUUUUCCAGAUCGUAGCCCAUAAAGUCACUGACUUGGUGACUUUACUUGACCCAAACAAGCCCAAACUCCAAAGUGAUAUUCUACUUCCAUAAGAGGGGCUAUAUCUCAUGCAUGAACACAAAUGGACCAUCAAGGUGACAAAUUUCUGCAUUAGGGACUCAUUUAGAAUUGAAAAUGGCAACUCAAGGUCUAACAAAACAAGUUGAGUCAUAAAGGUCCAAUCUUAGGUCCUAAAACAUCCAAAAACUCCAUCCUAGAAGAUCUAAACAUUCAAGAGACAUGUUCAAGACUUUAUUCCUCAAGAAGCUCUGGAAUGAAGCAAUAACCCCAGAUCUAUAUCUUCUCCUUCACUCCACCACCUUCCUUGUUCUUCACUUGCUUGAGAAAAUGGCUUACAACACUAGAAUACUCUCCAAAGACCUCCAAGCUCCAAAAACACUCAAGGGAGGAACUUUAUAUCCAUUAAGGGGCCAUUAAUGUCAAUAACUUCAAAGUGAUAUAACUCCAUCAUUCUAAUUUCGCUUCUAACGAACUUUAUAUCCACAAAAAGGUGGCGAGAAGCCCUACGCUUCAAGCGGCACACCUCGGCCCAAAACUUCUCGAAUAGAAACUUCAAGGCCCAUAAAAGAAGGAAACGCCGUAGCCUCGGGCUCUGAAAUGCAUAAACAAAUGCUUUCAUAACAGGGAAUUAAAACUCUCCCCCACUUAAACUAGACUUCAUCCUCGAAGUCCGCUACAGCUAACUAUCAUGUAAUCAACUCACAACAUUCCUUCCCGAUGCAUACAUUUCCUGUUGGGUCCGAUCCCCGAAGGACCACUACCAUUGGUCUUCUGUCCGGUCUCUCCGCAAAAUAAUCCCUGAAGAUAAGAACCUCGAGAGCGGUCUAAUCACCAAAAAUCCUGAAAAUGCGGCUCUUACCGAAUCGACAAUCCUUUUGGUAAUCCCCGAUUACUUAUGAUGGACAUAUGGGUUCACCCCUUUUUCCUUCCGCGUUCACCGGCCAUCUCAAGGCAACUUCCCAUAAAUAACAACCUUCUCUAUAUCUGUGAAGGAUAUACCCUUCGCUGAAUAUACCCCUCCAGCCACUCCCAGUGUUGGUUACUUCACUGUACACAUUGAAUGUUUCCUCUUACGAUAUCUUGGUGCUGAAAACCCAUCCCAGCGAAAUGGAUCAGAAAAUCCUUUGAGUAAAAGAUUCAUCCCUGCAACGGUUAGACUCAUACAAGAGCUACACAACAGGGUCAAACCCUUCCCUAAGAGAUUAUUUAACCCUGUUAUGAGAGGCGUAGCACUUCUCGGUCAACUAGCUGCCCCACACCAAACUUCUCGUAUCCUUACUUCCACUGACUGAAGAUUCUACUGUCUCUUAUCUGCCUUUCGGAUUAACCGAGACCACCCUGGUCCAAACUAAUUUGCCAUCAACUGGGUUACUGGACUCCCACUUGUUAAAGAACCCAAUCUCAAUCACUCAGUCGCUCCCAGCGACUCCGAAAGGAAACAUCGGAUAUCUAAAACUGUUCUGUCUACCUUGCCACUCUGAAUCUGUAUGCUCUGGGAUCCUCGAUCCCCUAACCUGACCCUAAGGUCUCUACCAGGUCCCACCUGCACUGCUACCAACAUACAUGCCUCGCCCAUGGGUCUUACCCGACUAUAUCUUGGAGCAGCCUCUCCCAAGGUCUCACCUCUCUAGGGCUAUGCAGGCCAACUCCACACUGAAUCUCAUCGAAUUAUCUUUUCCUGAUUUCUAUCAUGCUAACUAGGAGACACGGGCCUCGCCCAAACUCCGCUAACUAAGAGAUACAGGCCCUCGCCCACACUCCUCUCACAGGCUACUAACAAAUGUUGCAGCUAUCCCACAGUCUUACCACACUCUCCAUGCUAACUAUACCACUUACUACUAAUCCAAAAGCAUCCCAUGCCAUACGUUCACAUAAUCUACAUCCUGACUCACUCGAGUCCUGCUGGCGAUUCUCCGACCUGGUUUCCCAAACCAGCGAUCAGCAAACAUGAACAUACGAACUCAACAUUAGGAAGUUUCCCAAACUCCUAGCUCAUGUGCUCCUUAAUCCAACCAGCCACGUGGGCUGAUUUCCUUCUCAAUGAGGAUGCGCACUCAUCCCAGUUUUGUACUUACUUCUGCUUCUGACCUCUCGGGUGGUUCUCCCCCACUUUGAUUCCACUAGCUCCUUAUAGCUUAGAGCUUGAAAAGGAUUCUUAAUCCUUCUCUCCAUCUAAUGGUCGAUUUUCUGACAACCAAUAAUUACUAUUGCUAGUGCUCCAAAACUAACCAAUACCGAAUCUGAACAAUUGUGAAAUACUAACAAAAUACCUUUUGAGCCCCUCUCACACUUGCUAUAGUGACUGCAUCCUAAGAACCUGCUCAAAAGGGGAAACGUCUUCGAAUUACUACUCUGACAUCCAAGGUAUGCAGAUGACAUAUAACUUUAUCAUAAGCAGGAAACAUAAUAUUCUGAAAUGCUCUACUAAAAUUGAUGCAGUACCAUAACAAAAAAAAUCAUAAACAGAAGCUGAAUUUGAUAUACAUACAAGCUAUUUAUUGUGGCUCGAUCUUAACUUCAUGCGGAACCAUGGGCAUUGAAGCCUGAACUCUCUCCACCUCCAAAAUAGGACAAAGAAACAUGAAAUGGCCUGGCUGGCGACAAUGAAAACAUAUCUGAUCCUUCUUGCAAUACUGAUGUACAUGCCCUCUUUCUCCACAUUUGAAACACCUAAACUUGUGACAAGCGAACCCCUGGGUUCCCCCACACUUGCCACAAACCUCAAAAUCUCCAUGACUUCCAACACUCAAGUCAACUGAGUCGGAACCUCCACCUUCCUUUAAUCAUCCUGAUGUUGACGUCCGCUUCCUUUUCCCUAACUGCACAUCCAAACCAAACUCUUGCUCCCGAGUUGCCUCGGCUACCCUAUCAACCACCUGAACAGUCGUCGUCUGACCUUGAAACCUAGCGGUUACCUUGCCAGUAACACGCUCAAUAAUAUCGGGUAACUCCUCACGUACGGCCCCCGAAACCUCCAUAGCAAUCCAACCCUGAAGUGAACUCUCUUGGAGAAAAGGUGCGUAAGCCACCUCCGAUCCCUGACGACAAGAGUUAAUAGCAGGAUCCUCCCUUCUGAGGGAUCCCAAAGGUCCAUAAACAUUGGGCCCUAGAGGAAACCCAAACAUGGCCACCAUCUCAGUGUAAAAGGCUCCCAACCUCUCAUCCAAAAUCUUCAAUAUACCCUCCUUGACCGUACUAAAGAUCACAGGAGUCUGGUCUAGGAUACUGUGUGUAAUCUCUACUAAUACUAACUCUCUCAUCUACUCCCCAAGCUACUCGGCUUCUGAACACAAGCCUGGUCCCUCCUCUGCGCCUGAACUGCCCACUGGUCUAUCCCGUGGUGUCACCAUACUACAAUAUAACAUGACGACCACCAGAAAACUCACCUCUAUCGAGAAAUCAAACACGCACUACAAAUUUAUGGUUUUUAUCUUAGCCCUCCUUGACUCGAAGACAGAUCCCCUGCUUUUAGUAGGAUGCGCCCCUACUACCUUCCACAUCUAUCCGUACUUUCCUCAAGAAUUUUCUCGACUACACCAUGUCCCUUUCACUACUACUAACACUGCCCUCAGCACUACUCCCAUCCUAGGAUUUCCCUAGGGUAACCUCCAACUCGGACCCAGUCCUCAGCUACUGAAGGCAUCUUUAUAAUGCCAACUAGCCACUACCUAAAUACCAUCACAUGUGAAGAGGCUCAGAUAAUCCUCCGAGUAAAGGACUCGUCCCUACAACGGUUAGACUCAUACGAGAACUGCACAAUAGGGCCAAAUCCAGCACUCUGAGAUUAUUCAACCCUGAUCACAUGUGACUUGACGUAUUCACCUAAUGGCUAACUCCCAUCACUCAGAGUCCCAAAAAGCACAAAGCAAUUAGCAUUAAGACCAAAAGGAAAGUCUAACCACAUAAUCCAAUCGUACUGAUCUAUCCUCUACUCAGGAAUCUAUAGUAGCAUGCAACACAAAAAGCUCAUACACAUAUAACAGGCACAUAAGGCAUCCUUUCUAGAUCCUUAGUCCUAAUCUAGCAUGCAAAUCUCAUAAGCAUAUCAUAUCUUAACAUAACUUGUAUGGGUAUUUUGGGGGUACUUACUUGAGCUCGGUUGAUUGCAUGCACCACACCCUUCUUCUCUUUUCAAAGUUCUUUUCUAUUUUCAAAACUCUUUUCCUUUUCUCAAAGCUCAUUUUUACAAAAAAAGAGUUUCUUUUGAAAAUUUCAUACCAAGUCCUCAGUUUGAGUUCAGGCACACUCGAGAGUAUGCCCGAAUCCCUCAAACCAAGGCUCUGAUACCAACUUGUAACAUCCCGAAAAUAUGGUCCAAAAAUUUCGUUUUUAAUUUAAUAAUAAAAACCAUAAGUAUCAAUCAUUCAUUCAAAACAUAUCAUAUCAGAGUGUCAUGUCUAAAACAUUAUUCUAUUUUAUCAGAGCAAACAUCCCAGGUUAAAACUUCUUAGUGUGUGACAUGCGAUCAUCCUGAGAUCCUCCCUCUAAUACCGAAAGUACCUAAAACAAAAACUGAAAACUGUAAGCACGAAGCUUAGUGAAUUCCCUAACCUACCACAUACCGCAUACACAUAACCACCUACACAUAACCAUAUACUGGGCUCCCGCCCACUGCAUCGGGCCCUACCCGACAUCAGGCCCCGCUUGGCAUCGAGCCCUGCUCGGUAUACAAAUUUGUCUCUCUUAGGCCCCGCCUGCCUCCGGGCCCCACCCGCUAAACACAUACAAUCAUAUAAAAUAACACAUAACACAUAAACUAAACAUACUCUACUGAAUUCACGUUCUAAGGCCUCGCCUAUCUUGGGCCUCGCCCCUGUCCUACUACUGAUAAGUCACGGAACCCCGUCCAUGCCCCUACUGAUCGUGAGAUAUGGGUCCCCGCCCACACUCAUCUCUCUCCUAACUCGGGCCUCGCCCCUGCUCUGCUACUAAUGAGAUACGAAACCCCGUCCAUACUCUACUAGUGGUGAGAUACCAGACCUCACCCACACUCACCUCCCUACCAGACACAUACAACUAUCACACAUAAAACAAGUAUAAACUAACAUACAAACCUUCUCCGGGCACCCGCCCGACAUCGGACCUUGGUCCGGAUAACAUACUAGCAUACAGUACCUAGGGCUAACCCUCGGGUCUUCCUACACAUAAACUACAUGGUCCGGAUUUGUGGCCUUAGACACAUUCACACAGUGAGGAGACUCACCUUGCACUGCUGAAGUUCUGCUGAUACCCCUCAGGCUGCUAUCUAACAAAUCCUUGAACUACUGAUCCUUCAGCUUCCCGAGCUACCAAUACUAAGAUCACACUUAGACCAAAACCAAUAAUUCUCCUUAGGGUAAAAUGACCAUUUUAGCCCUUAGUCCAUCCCGGUCCGUAUCUAAGCCCAAAUGAUAAAAUAAAGACCCAACACUAAGUGGACCUCCCAAGCCCACUAAUGGCUCAAUUUGCUAUAAGGGGCCAAAAUGUUGGAAUAGUGUCUAAGGCUGCAAUUAUAUUAGGCAAGUAUUUGACCCGGUUGUGCAUGGUCCUUUUGGGUUGCCUUCACCAUAGCAACUUGAUAGGAUGAUUUAUUAAGAGAGAAUAAAUAUUAUUAAUAUAUUAUGAGAAUAAUAUAAAGAAUAAUAGUAUUGUUAUUUGAUUAAUAUAAGUCAUAAAUUAAUUGGUAUUAAUUUGGUGACUUAAAGAGAUUAAUUAAAUAAGAGGGUAUAAACUGUCAAUUGUUUGAUAGUUAAACUUUAGACUAUAAUUGGAUAGAUGGUGGACGGAUUCUAGAAGCUAAGGAUAGCUUAAAAUCGUCCAAGUCUAUCUAAGGAAUGGAUUUGGAUUGCUUUAAGAGAAGAUUAUCCAAUUAGGGUUUAAGCCGUAACCCUUAAGGAGUCUACAAGUAUAAAUAGACCCUAUGGCAAAGGGAAAUCGGCACUUGAUCUAAAGUAGAGAACCCCUGGCCGAAUUCCUCCCCUCUCCUCUCUCUCAAAUCAUCCUCCUUGCUAUUUGGUGUUUGUAAGCCAUUAGAGGAGUGACAAUUGUGACUCUAGAGCUCCAAGACAACAAGAUCAAACAAGAGAUUCAAAGGUAUGAUUCUAGAUCUGAUUUAGUAUUGUUCUUAUUCCUAAUUAGUCAUUAGAAGUCUUGGAUUCAAAGCAUGUUUAAUUAGAAAGCCUAGAUCCAAGCAUUAGGGUUUUGCAUGCGCACAUAGGAAAGUUCUUAUGGCUAAAACCCAUCAGUGGUAUCAGAGCGUAGCUUGGUUUUCUAUUAAAUUGUUGCUUGUUUGUUUGCAAAAUUCGAAUUUUGUGUUUCUGUGUCAUGAACUCGACGAGUCCCAUGGUGGACUCGACGAGUUGGCCUGACUCGAUGAGUCCAGUUGGGAACUCGACGAGUCCCAACAUUAGGAAGGGCCAGAUUCGGGAUUUUUUUAUAUUUAUCUUAUGGAAACUUGCCUUUAUCAUAUUGGAUCAACCCUAAUCUGAUUUUUUGAUAUAUAUGACUAUAAUCUUGAUCUAAUUAAAGAUAUUUAUCAACUAAUAAAAUAUUUAAUUUCCUUAUAUGAUAAUUAAUUAAUUAUUUUGAUUAAUUUGGUAAUUAUCUUGCAAGAAAUCUUGAAUAAAUCAAAUAUAGAUAAUUAGGAAAUUAAUUGUUAAUUAAAAUUAUUUGUUAUUUGAUCCUCCAUGUUUUAAAUGUUUAAAACUUGUCCUCAAGUUUUGAAAUUUAUAUUUUGUGAUUAAAAGUUUUAAUUUAGACAAUUUAAAUUUCAAACCCUAGAUUUUAAAAGUUUUAAAAUACAACCCUAUACUAAUAUGAUAUUACUAGAAUAAUAUAUAUAUGUAUAACUAAAUGCUAGUCUUACCGUUAGUAGGCCUCAUUCACGAAGCCGAUCUAUAAGGUGGGUAUAAGGUUGCGGCCUAUAAAAUGGCGCUUAAUGGGUGUACACUCACACCCACCGCUUGCUUGAUUGGUGGAGGGUCGUUAGCCGAACGGGUAGGAUAGGGCAACCUCAUCCUCUCAUUAAAAGUAUAAUAAGUAAUACAAAGUAACUACACAUAUUUUUAAAAUUUCCCAAUCUUAGUUACUUUAGGAAAAGUGAAUUGAUGCAAUCCCAUGAAAUUACACUUUGCACCCUUGCUAAGAAGUUAGUGGAGCGUGUGUGGUUUACCGGCACACUAAUUGGUUCUAAGCAAAGGUGGCAAAGGGUGAUUCAUUGUUUAUCAUAGUUCGAUGGAGCGUGUGUGGUUUACCGGCACAUCGAAUAGGUGAUCGUUACAAUGAAGGCACCAUGUGAAUUUGCAUGGUAAUUCACACCCGCUUUGUGAUCCUCGGUAUCCCAGUCACAAACAAGAGGGGCAUAUCGAGAUUUAAACAUGCCAUUGAAUAGUUUCAAUGAAUCUCAUCCGAACCUAGAAAUUCUCAAUACAUUUAGGACUAAUAGUUAGGUUUUUAUGGUGGAGAAUUAGUGAAUCGUCAUUCACUUACCUUCAUUUUAUUUGCAUGUUGGAUUACGGCGUCCCUUUUCUAAUAUGUAAAUGUUGUUGUUGGAUCCUAGCCCGAAUUUUCUUAUUGGGUGAUAAUUAGGAAUUCAUAUUCUAAUCUAUCUUUGGCCUUUCUAUUUGCAGAUGUCGAAUGCAAACAACGCUGCUGCUAGUUCUUUCACAUUGAUGAGCCUUUGCCAAAAGGUCACCUUCGAUGGAACGAACUUUAGCGAAUGGAUAAGAUACAUUCGCACCAUUGCUCGCUAUGAGGAUAAGGAGUAUGUCCUCGAUGAGAAGCUCGAGAAGAUCAACCCUGAAAUCGCUACUCCGGCUGAAAUUACCGCUUUUGAAACCCAUGAGCGCGAUGCAACGAAGGUACAUUACAUCACGAUAGCCACCAUGAACUCCGAAUUCCAAAAGUCCGGUGAGGACAUGUACCCGUACGAGAUGCAUCAAGACUUAUUGGAGAGAUACCACCAGACUCCCCAUCCUGCCUCAAUCUCAAAUACUCAUGAGCCAACCGCUCCCGCUCAACACGUCGAACGUAGCGGGUGCGAAACAUAUCCUUGAACUGCUCCCAAGUAACAGCAGCUCACUAGUCAUCAGUGUACGGCCCUGUCGUCAAUCUCCACCAAUCCUUCGCCCCAAGCCUCAGCAGGUUCACGACACACCUGAACUUAUGGUCAGCAGGACAUGAGCACAUGAAGAAACAACUCUCCACGUCAGGUAACCACCUCAUAGCCCUAAUCGCAUCCUGUGUACCAUCAAACGUCGUGGGUUCAUGUUAUCGAAGUCCCAGU
RNAcentral lists this long non-coding RNA (17400 nucleotides) under Lactuca sativa (garden lettuce). RNAcentral describes it as "long non-coding RNA (LSAT_LNC006839)". The record is from RNAcentral. Lineage: Eukaryota; Viridiplantae; Streptophyta; Magnoliopsida; Asterales; Asteraceae.